Molecule: long non-coding RNA, 564 nt
Filed under: Malus domestica (apple)
Lineage: Eukaryota; Viridiplantae; Streptophyta; Magnoliopsida; Rosales; Rosaceae
Description: long non-coding RNA (MDOM_LNC008758)
Source: RNAcentral
CUAUUGCAGCCUAACAAUGCUAAGAAGUUCUACUGCCUUCCUCCUUAGUUAGGGCUGCCUCUUGUCCAGUCUAGAUUAGGCAUAGGCCUCAAGGCACAUAUUUUUAUGCUUCUGUGGGCUUCAUUUUGGGUCACUAAAUUUAAUCACCUAAUUUUUUUUUUAUGGUACUACUGGGUUUAUAUUUUUCUCCCAAUUCCUUCCGUUGGCCCGAAAACCAAUAAUUAAUCAAUUAUAAUCCUAGGCCCCAAAAACCUAUUUGCAUAUAAUUUGUUUUCUUUUUGCUUUAUAUAUUUUUGUCUUGUAUAUAUUGCGUUUGUUUGCAAGUAUUAUGAACUUGAAGUUUCAGAAAAGUGCCAUAGAAACCUAAAAUUUCUUAAUGUGCAACACUCAUGUUGAGACCCAAAGUUCUCCAUGCUUAAAUCCAUUUAAACCAAACUAUGUCUUAGAACCUGAAUGUUCUAACUUUGAUGUUUACGGAAAUUUUAUUUCGUAAAGCACCAAUCACAUUCUUGUUUCUGCCAUUUAGCGUAUUGUCGAACCAUAACAAGUUUGAUUUCACGGAUU